AAUCCGACUUUGUUGUUCAGGCAAAGAAACAUAACUCUUGCAAUAAAUUGAAUUGCGCGGUUUUGACACUAUCCCCCCAAAUACCUAUUAUGACACUUUCCCUCUUCGUAAUCCCUGGGUAUAUAUAGUGCGCAAGCGCUAAUUGCCGGUCUUUUUCGAGUUGCAUGCCAACGAAAAUCCAAAUUGAACAGAUCUGGAAUUUCAAUUCAACACCAUCACCCCGUCCUCGACUGAUUCACCAUAUAUUGGGGCGACUCGCUUCAUCUCUACCGCCAUAUUGUACACGCCGUGUAGGGCAUCAUGAAAAUGUUGCGACGUACCGAGCGACAAUCUAAGUCGCCUUAUGCUAGACCGGCACAACAUCCAGCUCUUCGGUCAUUGCCCACACAGAAUCUGACCCCUGCAAUUCCAACCCGGAUUCAGCCCCGUCCGACAUCAAGUCAACCCCAAGAGGAGAAUCAGAUGGGCAUAUAGGACACAGCUAUCAUUUAAUCACAAAGGUAGCCUCCCAGCCUAAUCGCGGAAACCACCGCACCCACACAGCCACCGGCGACACCCUUCAUAACAGGUGAAAAUCCCCUUUCUUAACGCACAGCAUGUUUAUAAUUUUCGUAAUUUUAUUUCAUAUUAUUGAUGUUUUGCUAGCAUUGUUUUGAUAUUACCUGCCUUAAUGCUAUGGUAAUUUCCAUUUACUACUUUAAUAACACGCUGUAUCAAUUUUAUUGUGCGCAGUGCUUAAUGGUUAUUUAUUAUAACAUAAUUAUGCGCCCCCCACCUUUCACGGAAGAGGGGCAUAUAUUAGUUUACACCUGAUGGUUGGCAGACUACGUGUUGCCCGCUCAAUAUCACCAAUUACUUCAUCGUAAUGACGUUUUAUAUGGGAGUUGUUAACUUGGUUAUGAGUUGACGAGGACCCCUAUUGUUUUUCUGGUCAAGGGUCAAUCUUCUCUGGACAUAGGAAUACCUAGUCUGCUCAAUAUCUUGAGAACCCUUUGCUUGACAGACAUCAAACUUAGUACACUGGUACAUCCCAAAGAGUAGAUAACCCCUAUUGAUUUUGAAGUCACAUGGUCAAGGGUCAAACAGGACAUAGAAAUUAUAUACUGACCACUCAAUGUCUAGAGAACCCUUUGCUUGACAGACAUCAAACUUGGUACACUGGUACAUCAUCAGAAGAUGACCCCUCUUGAUUUUAAGUCACAUGGUUAAAGGCCAAGGGUCAAACUGGACAUAUGUAUAUAUUGACCACUUAAUGUCUAGAUAACCCUUUGCUCGACAGACAUCAAAUUUGGUACACUGGUGCAUCUUCAGGAGAUGACCCCCCUUGAUUUUGAGGUCACAUGGCCAAUGGUCAAACUGGACACAGAAAUAUAUUGUCCAAUCAAUAUCUUGAGAACCCUUUGCUUGACAGACAUCAAAUUUGGUACAUCUUAAGGAGAAGAUGACCCCUAUUGAUUUUGAGGUCACGUGGUCAAUGGUUUAAUUGUUUCCUAAUUUUAAGAAUUCUUCGCUUUACUGACACCAAAUCUGGUACAGCACAAGAAGUAGAUGACCCCCAUUGAUAUUUGGUCACUUGGUCAAUCCACUCCUGACAUUGGAAGAUAUUGUCUGCUCUAUUUCGAAUUGGUGAUACUACUAUCAAUCAAAUUAGGCACGUGUAUACCCGUUUUCAAUUUUGCACCAUGGGGGCAUAUACAUGUAUGUUUUACAAACACAUCUUGUUAUUACAAGCAUUACUGAUGAACUUGGGGCUCACGUUUCUCAAGCCAUCAAAGAUAAAAUUUGGGCAAAGCAUUAUGUCAAUUUAUCUUAACUCUUGAAUUCACAAUCACACAACAACCAUGAUACGCACAAAUUUUCAAUCAUACAAGGUCAAUUAGUUCUCGAACCCAUCAUCAAACAUAACAAAAUUCCCACGAUUCAUAACUCCAUAGAUGGAUUUUUCAUAUUCGCAAGUAUAUAUUUAGCUAGGCACCCUUCUGACAUCCAGGGCAUCUAAAAAAUAUAUUCAUGCCAUUCGCAUAGCACAUGAUCGUAACUAGUUCUAACCGGCUCGAGUACGAUAGGUGUUCAGGCCAACAACAACAAAUCCCUCAACCUCCUUUGGUUCCAUUGAUGCUGGGUUAUGGCUCAUGUAUAUAUGCAAUCCUAGGUUUCCUACCAGGUAACCCUUCAAAUCAGUGAAAAACUACAGACACAUUGCUACAUGCACACUGGUACAUUUAAAUAUUCAUUGUUUGAUUCAAAAUAUUCAGUGAAUUCUGGAUUCAUUGACCUCAAAUGUUGCAAUCAUCACAGUAUUCACUUUAAAGGCCCAUGCCUUAAACCACACAGCAUCAACUUAUCAAAUGGGCAUAAACUCUCUUCAAACUUUCGUACCAAAUAUGAAUUCCAGCUAUGUUGGCCCCCACCAGUUCACCAGUGUAUCAAUUAUAUUGCUUUCUUAAGUACCACCUAAGUAUCGUUUUCAACGGCUAGGUGCAUUAGUUAUAAAAUUCAGUUAGAGGGCGGUAUUGACAACACAAAACCUUCAUAGUAAGCUCAAUCCUACAGGGAUUCCAUAGGCUGAACCUAGUAAAGCAUGCCCGUUUCCCUGUCACUCUUCAUAUAUCUAUCCUACCAAUAGUUUGUUCAAGUUCAUACGAAGUCGCCACGUUUCCCACCGCAUUUCAGUUGGCAAUUUUUGCAUUGUUGCGGGUUGUUGCUAGUCAUGCCGCUCCUACACUAUUGUACAAUUACGUAUCAAUAGGCGAUGUACAUAUUUCGUUGUUUAUAACUGGCUCAAAACAUCAAUGCAAUAGGGGGUUCUAUGUUGCACAUUUCACUCAACUCACGAGCAGAUUCAUUGUUCAAGCACAUGCACAAUUUUUUGUCCAUUAGACCAAUCACGUGGCUCAUUUUACUGCCACCUUAAUGCCAAACCGCUCACAAAAUAUCAACUUGCAUCAUUAUUGCACAGGCCUAUUGAAUUCAUCUGUCUAGAUCCCCAACACGAAAUUCAGACUAGAGGCAGAUGGAAAUGUGAAUCAUUUAAUGCCUAUACCAGAGCCUAAAAAUUCAAAUUUUUAAGUAUACCUGCAAUAUUGUGCGUCCUAAUUCAAUACUACUGUCUGGAUUAUUGCCUCUUCCAUUAAUCAUUAUCCUGCCCGCCGUAUAUGGAUUUACUACACAGCACAUCUUUUUAGUGUGGUAAGAGUGGUAUGGUGUGGAAGGAGGUGGAGCCUAUUGUUGCACAAAGGGGCAAGCCUGAUGUUAUAUAAAUUAAUUGGGGAGGGGGCCGUAUCGGUACAACGCCAUUGGCUAGAUUGCAAAAAUUUCUGAAAUUAACUAUUGCCAGGAUGCCUAUUUACAAACUUAUUCCACAAACUCGGUUCAUAUCGUCCCAGAUCCUCCCCAGGCGUUACUAUACACAUACGUUCUCAAUAUUGCAGCAGCCAAUGCACGUACGAGUAUUAUCAAAUCUUUAGCUCCAUUCGUAACAUCACACAAUGCCGAAUACAUAAAAUACCUAGGUCUUCAACAAUGCUCUUCCAAAUUUCACAGACACAGUAUGCAUUGUCUGAUAUUGCUCAGGUUAUGUUUUUAAACAGUAUCUAGGAUGGAUUGCUCAGCAUUGUCCAAAGAAACGCUAGAAUAUUUCCUUAACCUAACUACUAUUUGAUAAGCAGUCUCCCUGUCAUGGCUCGAGCAAAAUUUUGCCCGCUUGUGGCGGAUGUCUUCAUGUAUGUUAACACUUCUUAAACAUACAUGAAGACAUAUGGCCGAAUUUUGCUAAGCCUGCCACAGAUUUUGUUUCAGUCCAGGUCCGUGGCCAAUAAUUGGGCUUAUUGACAUUGAAUGAUUGAUUGAUAUAUUGAUUGAUUGACACAUUGGUGGAUUGAAAUAUUGAUUGAUUGACACAUUGGUGGAUUGAUUGAUUGAUUGAAAAUAUUGAAUGAAUUAUUGAUUGAUAUAUUGAUUGAUUGACACAUUGGUGGAUUGAAAUAUUGAUUGAUUGAUUGAAAAUAUUGAAUGAAUUAUUGAUUGAUUGACACAUUGGUGGAUUGAAAUAUUGAUUGAUUGAAAAUAUUGAGUGAAUUAUUGAUUGAUUGACUCAAACAUGCAUGGACUAUUGAUGCUACAACAUUACUAUCCAAAAGUCGUUGUAGAUCAUGCAUUUCAUUACAGAGUGUGUAUGAUAUACAUACUGAUGGUUUGUAUUGAUAUGAACAUUGUCGUUGUCAGAAUUGGAAAUAUGUUUUUAUUAAGUAAAGCCAUGACAAAGACUGCCAAUACGUGUUAUCGUUCUGUUCUAUUGAAAUAAUCCGACUUAACUCACUAUGAGUUAAGUCCUGUUAUUGAAAUGAACAGAAAAAAGUAUUUGUUGUUCAGGCAAAGAAACAUAACUCUUGCAAUAGAAUUGCGCGGUUUUGACACUAUCCCCCCAAAUACCUAUUAUGACACUUUCCCUCUUCGUAAUCCCUGGGUAUAUAUAGUGCGCAAGCGCUAAUUGCCGGUCUUUUUCGAGUUGCAUGCCAACGAAAAUCCAAACCCUCCCUCCACUCCCCCUUUUUUCUGAGCAUAUAUGCAUCCAUCCUUGUUGCGUUUUUGCUGUCUCUCUCUGUGUAUUUUCAGAUCCAUUUUGUCAACGUGACUCGACUCUCCGCCUUCACGAUGCGUCAUGGCUCUACGAAUUUACGAGUUGUCAGUGGUCAAUAAUAGACAAUCGCCGAAUUUUGCUAAGCCUGCCACAGAUUUUGUUUCAGUCCAGGUCCGUGGCCAAUAAUUGGGCUUAUUGACAUUGAAUGAUUGAUUGAUUGACACAUUGGUGGAUUGGAAUAUUGAUUGAUUGACACAUUGGUGGAUUGAAAUAUUGAUUGAUUGAUUGAAAAUAUUGAAUGAAUUAUUGAUUGAUAUAUUGAUUGAUUGACACAUUGGUGGAUUGAAAUAUUGAUUGAUUGAUUGAUUGAAAAUAUUGAAUGAAUUAUUGACUGAUUGACACAUUGGUGGAUUGAAAUAUUGAUUGAUUGAAAAUAUUGAGUGAAUUAUUGAUUGAUUGACUCAAACAUGCAUGGACUAUUGAUGCUACAACAUUACUAUCCAAAAGUCGUUGUAGAUCAUGCAUUUCAUUACAGAGUGUGUAUGAUAUACAUACUGAUGGUUUGUAUUGAUAUGAACAUUGUCGUUGUCAGAAUUGGAAAUAUGUUUUUAUUAAGUAAAGCCAUGACAAAGACUGCCAA
Long non-coding RNA from Ostrea edulis (European flat oyster), 5219 nucleotides. RefSeq lists it as uncharacterized. The transcript has 3 exons. NCBI's taxonomy places the organism in Eukaryota, Metazoa, Mollusca, Bivalvia, Ostreida, Ostreidae. The record is from RefSeq and is a predicted model, not a curated record.